AUCCACUUAGGAGGUGUGAAAGUUCUCAUUCUUCUGCACGUGAUAACCGUCGUCAGAGAUCAAGGUCUCCUCGAGAUUGCAGUGGCCUUGUGACUCCAACUUCUACCAUUGUGGUGAAGGGCUUGCCAAAAGAGGCAACAGAGGAAAUGAUUUAUCGGAUCCUAGCAGAGUGGAGGCCCCUUCCCAAUAUCCGAGUGAUGCCGAAAAAGAAUACUACUUUCUGCCGUGGAAUCGCAUUCGUUGAUUUUCCGUCUGUGGUAGCGGCUCGGAAAUUGAUGGAUGAAAUUGGAGACCGCGGCCUCGAUGUCAAUGGGCGUAAGCUGUCUUUUGAUUACAGACUAGGUAAAUCAGAAUUGGCUAACGAAGUUCCGAUUGUAAAUGCUGGAAUCGGUGAAUCAGAAGUGGCCGGAGAACACAAAGAUGAAAAUGAUAGUGAAGAUGAUGAAGAAGAUUGUGAUUAUGUAGAUGAAGUGGCCUCGGAAAGGCUACCAGAUUCUUGGGACCAUGAAGAAAUACAUAUGCUAAGGGAAGCCUUUCAUUAUCUUGUAAAAGAUGGUAAGAAGAAACCAUGUAAGGAAAUGUUGGAAUAUGGACAUGAUGUCUUCCAUGCUGGUCGUACCAACGAGGAUCUAAGGUCAAAGUGGAAGUAUAUGGUGAAUCACGGCCAAUGGUAAGGACGUUUUUUUUUGUUUUUUUCCUCAUUUAAAUGGAAUCUAAUCUAAACGACAGAAUCGGCACAACCGUCGUCUUCUUUUGGCUUUGGAGGAAGAUGGGUGGAUUAAAGUAUUUUGAAACUUUUUGCUUAAUAGCCUGUCUGCAAGAGUAGUGAAGGUGUCUCCUUGGCUCACAAAGAGUAGUGAAGGUGUCUGGUAGUGGAAUGGGUCAGAACUAUUUGAUUUAUUGAUCGCUAGUCGGGGGUUCCUGGUGAAUUUUUUGAAUUGGAAUUGUUGUUUGUUAUGGUAUAUCCAGUUCUUAGUGCACACAAGUGAUUCCCUGGUGUAAAACAGAGACACCAGUACAUAAAACAGAGUAGAGAAUGCAAUUUGCGCAAAAGUAAUUCGAAGUUUGUUUUUGAAUAAAACUGCUGACAACAAUCACCUUCUCAAAAUCAUUGUCCUUGAAGCAUCAGCAACUAAAGGUUCAUUCUUAGCUAGCUAAUUGAGUUGAGGCAGCCGCUAAGAACUUCUUCGCGCAAUAGCUGACAUAUAACGUACAUCUGUAACAUCUCACAGGCCGAAGACACAUAGGUUUGGUGAGCCCAGUAAAAGACCCACCCAAGGAGAGAUAGAUAGAUAGAUAGAAUAGACGAAGCUCAUGGAAACUCUGGUUGUUUUGAGUCUGAGGGGUUGCUGCUGGAGAGGGAGGAACUUGGAAGCCAUGAUAUAGCAAACCCCCCUUAGAUCUAGCUACUUUCAGAUUUUGAAAAAAGGCACUUCACCGAUCAAACAAAAAUGGCACUUAGUUCACAAUUGGGUGCUGAUGUUAACCAUUAAGCACAUGGUAGACCACCACUCAGUUUUAUCGAAUUGAUAGGUGCACUGCUCAGUUUCGGAAAUUGAGCGGUGCAAUGGCAGGCCACCACUUCGUUCCGCAGAAUGAGUGUGCACUGCUCAGUCCCGGGUACUGAGCGGUGCAAUGGCAGGUCACCGUCAGUUCCUAAAACUGAGAGGUGCAAAGCUAUGUGUCUAAUGGAGAACGUCACACUUAAUGGAACUGAGCAGCUUCCGGACAAAUGAAACUAUUGGAAAACAGCAAGGCAGUGAUACUCCCUAUGUAGUUCAGCUACAGCUGCUGGAACAUAGCUAAGUCUGAUUCUUGGGUAACGUUUCAAUGAAAAUAGCCCUAUUUAGCUUUUGUUAUAUUGCUGACUUUGGUACUCUGCUAGUAUAUUUAGGUGCACAUUCUUAACACUCUCAAUGUAUACUUAAAUUGCCCUUAUACUUCUAGAAUGCCUGAGUUUCUUUUUUGCUUGGUACAUGUCAUUUUGUUCAAGGUUUCUGCCCCUUCUUCUGAUGAUAUUUGUUUCUAACUUGAGUGUUGCUUUUGUUUUUGUUUUUUGCAGGUCUUGCCUUUGCAUUCCUAACUGGUUGUCUUUGUUUUGCAGGAGAGAUAGAUAGAUAGAUAGAAUAGACGAAGCUCAUGGAAACUCUGGUUGUUUUGAGUCUGAGGGGUUGCUGCUGGAGAGGGAGGAACUUGGAAGCCAUGAUAUAGCAAACCCCCCUUAGAUCUAGCUACUUUCAGAUUUUGAAAAAAGGCACUUCACCGAUCAAAAAAAAUGGCACUUAGUUCACAUUUGGGUGCUGAUGUUAACCAUUAAGCACAUGGUAGACCACCACUCAGUUUUAUCGAAUUGAUAGGUGCACUGCUCAGUUUCGGAAAUUGAGCGGUGCAAUGGCAGGCCACCACUUCGUUCCGCAGAAUGAGUGUGCACUGCUCAGUCCCGGGUACUGAGCGGUGCAAUGGCAGGUCACCGUCAGUUCCUAAAACUGAGAGGUGCAAAGCUAUGUGUCUAAUGGAGAACGUCACACUUAAUGGAACUGAGCAGCUUCCGGACAAAUGAAACUAUUGGAAAACAGGUAAAUGAGCUUUUCUUUUCCUCCUGUUUUUUUGUUUUUUUUGUUUUUUUAUUUGUCGUUUUUCUUUCUUAUUUUAUUGAAAUCAAUGUUGGAAAUUUGGUACACAGCAAGGCAGUGAUACUCCCUAUGUAGUUCAGCUACAGCUGCUGGAACAUAGCUAAGUCUGAUUCUUGGGUAACGUUUCAAUGAAAAUAGCCCUAUUUAGCUUUUGUUAUAUUGCUGACUUUGGUACUCUGCUAGUAUAUUUAGGUGCACAUUCUUAACACUCUCAAUGUAUACUUAAAUUGCCCUUAUAUUUCUAGAAUGCCUGAGUUUCUUUUUUGCUUGGUACAUGUCUAUCAUUUUGUUCAAGGUUUCUGCCCCUUCUUCCGAUGACUGUCAGGUCAGUACAUUUUUGCCUUAACAAAGAUAUUUGUUGCUAACUUGAGUGUUGCUUUUGUUUUUGUUUUUUGCAGGUCUUGCCUUUGCAUUCCUAACUCUAACUCUAUGUUUAUUAACACUUAUGAUCAUGUUUAUUAUGUUUUGCAUAAAAUUGUUUCUAACUUGAUCAUUGGAGUAUCUGUUUUUUUUUUUUGCAGGUCUCGCCUUUGUAUUCCUAACUCUAACUCCAUGUUUAUUAACCCUAACUCUACUUUUAUUAUGUUUUGCAUAAAAUUGUUUCUACCUUGAGCGUUGGAGUAUCUUUGUAGUUUUUUGCAGGUCUUGGCUUUGUAUUCCUAACUCUAACUCUACGUUUAUUAUGUUUUGCACAAAAUUGUUUCUAACUUGAGCCUUGGAGUGUCUUUAUUGUUUUUUUGCAGGUCUUGGCUUUGUAUUCCUAACUCUAACUCUAUGUUUAUUAUGUUUUGCAUAAAAUUGUUUCUAACUUGAGCGUUGGAUUAUGUUUAUUGUUUUUUUGCAGGUCUUGGCUUUGUAUUCCUAACUCUAACUCUAUAUUUAUUACGUUUUGCAUAAAAUUGUUUCUAACUUGAGUGUUGGAGUAUCUUUAUUGUUUAAUGCAGGUCUUGGUUUUGUAUUCCUAACUCUAACUCUACGUUUAUUAUGUUUUGCAUAAAAUUGUUUCUAACUUGAGUGUUGGAGUAUCUUUAUUGUUUUUUUGCAGGUCUUGGCUUUGUAUUCCUAACUCUAACUCUAUGUUUAUUAUGUUUUGCAUAAAAUUGUUUCUAACUUGAGCCUUGGAGUAUCUUUAUUGUUUUUUGCAGGUCUUGGCUUUGUAUUCCUAACUCUAACUCUAUGUUUAUUAACCCUUAACUCUAUGUUUAUUAUGUUUUGCAUAAAACUGUUUCUAACUUGAGCGUCGGAGUAUCUUCCUUGUUUUUUUGCAGGUCUUGCCUUUGUAUUCCUAUGGCCAAUUCAAUUAGUAGAGUUAUUGAAAUGGAAUGCUGGUACCUCGCGGGGAACAUCAUCUGUUUGGCUUUUGAUCAGUUUGCCUGCUCUAGGGUAUGUCUGACUUUAAAGGAUACAAAUGAAGACAGAUCAGUCCUGUGAAUCAUGUACUAGUGAGAUCCUCCUCUUCCCUGAAGGAGGCUGCAUUUUAACUCAAAAGGUCUUGUCUGCUUAUUGGGUGGCCACUCGCCAGGGAGAACUUGUAAUGUGGAAUGCUGGUGCCUGGUAGAGAAUGCCUGACAUUUGACCAGUCUGUUGUCAAGGCUUAAUAUGCAAAAGACGUGCCAGGAGAUUUAGCAGGAUGUGAAAAGCGCAGGAUGUGAAAAGUGCAAUGAUGCGGUGAGACUUGAUAAGCCUGGUGGUCCGUUGAGAGAUAAAAAUGAACAAUUGGUGGUUCCAGAGGUUCUUUGCCUUGCGUAGUUUUUCCUGAUGAAGCUCCGAGCAACAUUGUGAGUAAGCAGGGUAGUGAAAGUAGAAACGAAUCUGAAGGCAAUGUCACUAAAGAGAUGCAAACUUAUUGGUAAAAUUGAUGAGGAUAUAUCCGCCACGAAUUCUGUUGUGGUUCACGCGAAGCUGACAUCAUGCCUUUCUGCUGCAAUCUCCUUGACUCCAUCAUCAAUAGUGAAUGAGAAUUAGAUGGAAUAGUGGUUGUAAAUUCUGACUGAGGAUGAUGUUGUGCCUGAAGAUAUGGUCCAAAAUUGAUGUUGAGGUGCUUCUCAUGUGCAGGAGAAGGCAGGCCGUAUUUUAAGAAUAUGGACCGUUUUUGUAGAAGUUUUAGGAUGUUUUUGAACAACGCCAAGUUUAUUAUUACGUAGUUACUGUCAUUCUUUCUUUCUUGUAAAGAUGCGAUGUGAUGCGAAUAUAUGUAUGUUUUUUUUUAGCAGUAAUGUUAAACAUUUUGCUUUGGAGAUUCAACA
Long non-coding RNA from Papaver somniferum (opium poppy), 4879 nucleotides. RefSeq lists it as uncharacterized. The transcript is spliced from 14 exons. The record is from RefSeq and is a predicted model, not a curated record. NCBI's taxonomy places the organism in Eukaryota, Viridiplantae, Streptophyta, Magnoliopsida, Ranunculales, Papaveraceae.